GUGGAAAUAGCUCAGUGGUAGAGCUCCCGCUUCGUAAGCGGGAAGACCUGGGUUUGAUUGCCGGCUGCUUACG
This is a non-coding RNA of Toxocara canis (dog roundworm), 73 nucleotides long. The record is from Rfam. NCBI's taxonomy places the organism in Eukaryota, Metazoa, Nematoda, Chromadorea, Rhabditida, Toxocaridae.